RNAcentral lists this ribosomal RNA (484 nucleotides) under uncultured bacterium. RNAcentral describes it as "partial 16S ribosomal RNA". It matches the Rfam family "Bacterial small subunit ribosomal RNA", at positions 30 to 507 of the family's 1533-position model. The record is from RNAcentral.
AUUGAACGCUGGCGGCAGGCCUAACACAUGCAAGUCGAGCGGAUGAAGGGAGCUUGCUCCUGGAUUCAGCGGCGGACGGGUGAGUAAUGCCUAGGAAUCUGCCUGGUAGUGGGGGAUAACGUCCGGAAACGGGCGCUAAUACCGCAUACGUCCUGAGGGAGAAAGUGGGGGAUCUUCGGACCUCACGCUAUCAGAUGAGCCUAGGUCGGAUUAGCUAGUUGGUGGGGUAAAGGCCUACCAAGGCGACGUUCCGUAACUGGUCUAAGAGGAUGAUCAGUCACACUGGAACUGAGACACGGUCCAGACUCCUACGGGAGGCAGCAGUGGGGAAUAUUGGACAAUGGGCGAAAGCCUGAUCCAGCCAUGCCGCGUGUGUGAAGAAGGUCUUCGGAUUGUAAAGCACUUUAAGUUGGGAGGAAGGGCAGUAAGUUAAUACCUUGCUGUUUUGACGUUACCAACAGAAUAAGCACCGGCUAACUUCGUG